ACGCUCGACACCUACGGGAAGCAGCAGUGGGGAAUAUUGGGCAAUGGGCGCAAGCCUGACCCAGCAACGCCGCGUGAAGGAAGAAGGCCCUCGGGUUGUAAACUUCUUUUAACAGGGACGAAGCAAGUGACGGUACCUGUUGAAUAAGCCACGGCUAACUACGUGCCAGCAGCCGCGGUAAUCUGAGCGGGCUGGCAAGGC
This 201-nucleotide ribosomal RNA is filed under the name uncultured bacterium. Its description in RNAcentral is "partial 16S ribosomal RNA". It matches the Rfam family "Bacterial small subunit ribosomal RNA", at positions 326 to 539 of the family's 1533-position model. The record is from RNAcentral.